Molecule: non-coding RNA, 783 nt
Organism: Nicotiana tabacum (common tobacco)
Lineage: Eukaryota; Viridiplantae; Streptophyta; Magnoliopsida; Solanales; Solanaceae
Source: RefSeq, a predicted model, not a curated record
AACUUCAGCAUCUUCUACUGAAAUUUUUUAAAAAGCUUAAUCACAAAACUAAUAGAGCUUGAGUUUUGACAUGUGUGUUAUGUGUUUUUUUAUUAAUGGUCUAGGUUAAUUAAGUCAUUUCAGAUCAUCUCUCUCACUGAUAUUAUAUACGUGGCUUUCAUUUAUUUGUACAGAGCUCCGCCCGUAACUAUUAAACAACAGCAGGUGUAUGUUAACAAGAUACAUAGCUCUCUGUUUGUCUUCUCCUCUCAAGCUGCAGAUAUGUUUCACUUUCAAUCAACGUUGCCCAUAUCUUUAUCUCUUUUUCCUUCAUUUUGUCCUAUGUUUGUUUUAGGUUCUCUUCUCACGUUGAGCACAAAAGAGAUAAAAUGUUCUGUAUUAGGAGAGAAAUUUCAAUGAGAAAUCAGUAAGCAAGACCAAAGAGAGGAAAAUCGAGAAUGAAGAAAGAUGAGCAGACUCGGGACCUCAGGUACGCGAUAAGAUUAUGCGGUGGGAAAAGGAUGCGGUGGCUAAGAAAGAAAUCAAGAAAGCUACACGUAGUAUUUGUGGAUAGAAAAAACGCAGGUAUAGAAGUUCAUGCUAAAUGAUUGAAUUACCCUCAAACUUUUUUAAAAUGACACUAAGCAGACAUGUCAAAACAUGUUGCUCUUCUAUUAUAUAGAAGAAAUGAAGCUAUUGCUCUAUGAAAAUAUCAAAUAAGAUUGACUAUAAAGAGUUUUGCAGAGAUUAAAAGAAUAAGUGUGAUUAAACUUCUAAAUUUUGAGAUUAUGAUGUUUUGGUGUA